This 378-nucleotide unclassified non-coding RNA is filed under the name plant metagenome. RNAcentral's name for it is "partial contains 5.8S ribosomal RNA, internal transcribed spacer 2, and large subunit ribosomal RNA". The stretch from base 1 to 107 matches the Rfam family "5.8S ribosomal RNA", at positions 48 to 154 of the family's 154-position model. The record is from RNAcentral.
GCGAAAUGCGAUAAGUAAUGUGAAUUGCAGAAUUCAGUGAAUCAUCGAAUCUUUGAACGCACCUUGCGCUCCUUGGUAUUCCUUGGAGCAUGCCUGUUUGAGUAUCAUGAAAUCUUCAAAGUAAAUCUUUUGUUAACUCAAUUGGUUUCUACUUUGGUAUUGGAGGUCUUUGCAGCUUCACACCUGCUCCUCUUUGUUCAUUAGCUGGAUCUCAGUGUUAUGCUUGGUUCCACUCGGCGUGAUAAGUUAUCUAUCGCUGAGGACACUGUACAAGGUGGCCAAGGUAAAUGCAGAUGAACCGCUUCUAAUAGUCCAUUGACUUGGACAAUACUUUUAUGAUCUGAUCUCAAAUCAGGUAGGACUACCCGCUGAACUUAA